AAGGUGAUAUGAACCGUUAUAACCGGCGAUUUCCGAAUGGGGAAACCCAGUGUGAUUCGUCACACUAUCAUUAACUGAAUCCAUAGGUUAAUGAGGCGAACCGGGGGAACUGAAACAUCUAAGUACCCCGAGGAAAAGAAAUCAACCGAGAUUCCCCCAGUAGCGGCGAGCGAACGGGGAGGAGCCCAGAGCCUGAAUCAGCAUGUGUGUUAGUGGAAGCGUCUGGAAAGGCGCGCGAUACAGGGUGACAGCCCCGUACACAAAAGCGCAUGUGCUGUGAGCUCGAUGAGUAGGGCGGGACACGUGGUAUCCUGUCUGAAUAUGGGGGGACCAUCCUCCAAGGCUAAAUACUCCUGACUGACCGAUAGUGAACCAGUACCGUGAGGGAAAGGCGAAAAGAACCCCGGCGAGGGGAGUGAAAAAGAACCUGAAACCGUGUACGUACAAGCAGUGGGAGCACAGGUUUACCUGUGUGACUGCGUACCUUUUGUAUAAUGGGUCAGCGACUUAUAUUCUGUAGCAAGGUUAACCGAAUAGGGGAGCCGGAGGGAAACCGAGUCUUAAUUGGGCGUUAAGUUGCAGGGUAUAGACCCGAAACCCGGUGAUCUAGCCAUGGGCAGGUUGAAGGUUGGGUAACACUAACUGGAGGACCGAACCGACUAAUGUUGAAAAAUUAGCGGAUGACCUGUGGCUGGGGGUGAAAGGCCAAUCAAACCGGGAGAUAGCUGGUUCUCCCCGAAAGCUAUUUAGGUAGCGCCUCGUGAAUUCAUCUCCGGGGGUAGAGCACUGUUUCGGCUAGGGGGCCAUCCCGGCUUACCAACCCGAUGCAAACUGCGAAUACCGGAGAAUGUUAUCACGGGAGACACACGGCGGGUGCUAACGUCCGUCGUGAAGAGGGAAACAACCCAGACCGCCAGCUAAGGUCCCAAAGUCAUGGUUAAGUGGGAAACGAUGUGGGAAGGCCCAGACAGCCAGGAUGUUGGCUUAGAAGCAGCCAUCAUUUAAAGAAAGCGUAAUAGCUCACUGGUCGAGUCGGCCUGCGCGGAAGAUGUAACGGGGCUAAACCAUGCACCGAAGCUGCGGCAGCGACACUGUGUGUUGUUGGGUAGGGGAGCGUUCUGUAAGCCUGUGAAGGUGGCCUGUGAGGGUUGCUGGAGGUAUCAGAAGUGCGAAUGCUGACAUAAGUAACGAUAAAGCGGGUGAAAAGCCCGCUCGCCGGAAGACCAAGGGUUCCUGUCCAACGUUAAUCGGGGCAGGGUGAGUCGACCCCUAAGGCGAGGCCGAAAGGCGUAGUCGAUGGGAAACGGGUUAAUAUUCCCGUACUUGGUGUUACUGCGAAGGGGGGACGGAGAAGGCUAUGUUGGCCGGGCGACGGUUGUCCCGGUUUAAGCGUGUAGGUGUGUGUUCCAGGUAAAUCCGGUUCACUUUAACACUGAGGCGUGACGACGAGGCACUACGGUGCUGAAGCAACAAAUGCCCUGCUUCCAGGAAAAGCCUCUAAGCAUCAGGUAACAUCAAAUCGUACCCCAAACCGACACAGGUGGUCAGGUAGAGAAUACCAAGGCGCUUGAGAGAACUCGGGUGAAGGAACUAGGCAAAAUGGUGCCGUAACUUCGGGAGAAGGCACGCUGACACGUAGGUGAAGUGAUUUACUCAUGGAGCUGAAGUCAGUCGAAGAUACCAGCUGGCUGCAACUGUUUAUUAAAAACACAGCACUGUGCAAACACGAAAGUGGACGUAUACGGUGUGACGCCUGCCCGGUGCCGGAAGGUUAAUUGAUGGGGUCAGCGCAAGCGAAGCUCCUGAUCGAAGCCCCGGUAAACGGCGGCCGUAACUAUAACGGUCCUAAGGUAGCGAAAUUCCUUGUCGGGUAAGUUCCGACCUGCACGAAUGGCGUAAUGAUGGCCAGGCUGUCUCCACCCGAGACUCAGUGAAAUUGAACUCGCUGUGAAGAUGCAGUGUACCCGCGGCAAGACGGAAAGACCCCGUGAACCUUUACUAUAGCUUGACACUGAACAUUGAGCCUUGAUGUGUAG
RNAcentral lists this ribosomal RNA (2036 nucleotides) under Salmonella enterica subsp. enterica serovar Newport. Its description in RNAcentral is "partial 23S ribosomal RNA". It matches the Rfam family "Bacterial large subunit ribosomal RNA", at positions 83 to 2141 of the family's 2925-position model. The record is from RNAcentral. Lineage: Bacteria; Pseudomonadati; Pseudomonadota; Gammaproteobacteria; Enterobacterales; Enterobacteriaceae.